CGAACGCUGGCGGCGUGCCUAAUACAUGCAAGUCGAGCGGACAGAAGGGAGCUUGCUCCCGGAUGUUAGCGGCGGACGGGUGAGUAACACGUGGGUAACCUGCCUGUAAGACUGGGAUAACUCCGGGAAACCGGAGCUAAUACCGGAUAGUUCCUUGAACCGCAUGGUUCAAGGAUGAAAGACGGUUUCGGCUGUCACUUACAGAUGGACCCGCGGCGCAUUAGCUAGUUGGUGAGGUAACGGCUCACCAAGGCGACGAUGCGUAGCCGACCUGAGAGGGUGAUCGGCCACACUGGGACUGAGACACGGCCCAGACUCCUACGGGAGGCAGCAGUAGGGAAUCUUCCGCAAUGGACGAAAGUCUGACGGAGCAACGCCGCGUGAGUGAUGAAGGUUU
This 397-nucleotide ribosomal RNA is filed under the name Bacillus sp. AU3_02. RNAcentral describes it as "bacterial SSU rRNA". It matches the Rfam family "Bacterial small subunit ribosomal RNA", at positions 30 to 417 of the family's 1533-position model. The record is from RNAcentral. Lineage: Bacteria; Bacillati; Bacillota; Bacilli; Caryophanales; Bacillaceae.